Molecule: long non-coding RNA, 413 nt
Organism: Phasianus colchicus (ring-necked pheasant)
Lineage: Eukaryota; Metazoa; Chordata; Aves; Galliformes; Phasianidae
Source: RefSeq, a predicted model, not a curated record
GGAGAAGAGGCUUUAGUAUGGAGGAGACUCAUGGAAGAUCUUCUCAUUCUCUACAACUACUUGAGUGGAGAUUGUAGCAAGUUCUUCUCAGCUGUUUCAGGAGUUGCUGUUUAUCCCUGGGUGCCAGAGGGAUGGGCAAAAUAAGGACAAGAAUUUCCUGCUUCAAUGGUACACACACUGCAGCAUAUGUACCAGAAUACGCAGGAACAAGUGAUACAAGACUCCCCGCCUUUUACCAAUCACUGUCCGCAAACAUUAUAAUGAAAAAUUCUAGCCAUUUUCCCAUCUCAGAGCAUUCUUCAUGAUAGCUAGCAUAAGAGAGAGAUUACGGAGACAGUGGAUGCAUCAGUCUAAUAUUUUUAAGAGACAAACUUUGCAAAAUGUUAUUGAUUAAAAUGCUCUUGAUGAAAUGA